This is a long non-coding RNA of Malaclemys terrapin pileata, 620 nucleotides long. RefSeq lists it as uncharacterized. The transcript has 3 exons. Lineage: Eukaryota; Metazoa; Chordata; Testudines; Emydidae. The record is from RefSeq and is a predicted model, not a curated record.
UGAGAAACAGCAAGGUCAAGAUCAUAUAUGUCAAGGAAUGGCAGUAACAAUCUAAAUGCAUUUAAGGUUGGUUUACAUCUUGCCCUUCUGGAGCGAGGCAUUAACAUUGCCCAUCAAGAAUGGACUGAGCACUUCAGUGAUGGCUUUCACUAGCCAUGAGGAGUGUGAUUCCAUCUCACUGGUCAUGCCACGUUCCUAACCACUUCCAGGACCUCUGUCCAUGAAAUCAGGCCUAAAGAUAGGAAACAAUCGAUGGUAAGUCAUAUGGAUCGGAGAGCUUCGUCGAACGUUGAAGCUUUGAGGAGGCAAUCGUCUAGGUUGCUGGAGGCCUAGGGACCGGAAGGUUGCCCUUGCAUCCUUCAUCGAAUGAAGCACGUCGUUUGUGGUGGAGGCAAAAAGUUUUUCCCCAUUGAAGGGAAGAUCUUCAAUGGUGCUCUGGACCUCUCGAGGAAAGAAGGAGAAGGAGAGCCAUGAACCCCGUCGCAUGACCACUGCUGUGGCGGUCGACCUUGCUGCAGUGUUAGCUACAUCGAGGGCCGCUUGGAGAGCGGUACGUGAUAUGGUUUGUCCCUCGGAAACCAGAGCUGUGAAUUGUUGUUUCUUCUGCUCUGGGAUGUGAU